Neogale vison (American mink) is the source of this 281-nucleotide long non-coding RNA. RefSeq lists it as uncharacterized. The record is from RefSeq and is a predicted model, not a curated record. The transcript is spliced from 3 exons. NCBI's taxonomy places the organism in Eukaryota, Metazoa, Chordata, Mammalia, Carnivora, Mustelidae.
CAUGGCCAUGCGCGCUUUCUGCAGCUGGAGUUUCGGUAACCUUGGGAUUGACCGCAGAGAGCGAGGUUUUGCCAUAAACGUCGCCACAUAGCUCAAUGAAAGCUUUGAUGAUGUGGAAUGUGGAAAUUUUUGGAAAAGGAUUCUGUCAGAAGGAAGUACCUUGCUGUGUCUGCUGUAGGAAGGCCCAGUUAUGAAUGCCUGGAGACAAUGGAGCCAAAUAUACACAAAGGGCCAGGAGUCAGAUUCUCAAUUUACAUGCAGCUGCCAUUUUGAAAAAAAAA